RNAcentral lists this long non-coding RNA (3052 nucleotides) under Brachypodium distachyon (stiff brome). RNAcentral describes it as "long non-coding RNA (BDIS_LNC004888)". The record is from RNAcentral. Lineage: Eukaryota; Viridiplantae; Streptophyta; Magnoliopsida; Poales; Poaceae.
AUGUACCGAUCUCUGAUUUGGGACCAUUUUCCGUGGAGUUCAGUUUUUGUCGUCCUUCAUCCUUUUGACAUCGAUUUGCUUAAUUCAGUGGCAUGACGAUGGUUCCUUCGGGGAUGACCGCGAAUCGAUGGCAUGAUGUGCGCCUUCCACAAGAGGCAGUUUUCCCGAUUGAGCUUCUCGGUGACAGGGUGGCCAAGCUGCACUGCCAUGUGCACAGCUGCACCGGUCGAGCUCCAUUAGGAGGCCGGAGGAGAGAAUAGUAGAUGCAAUUGAAGAGCGAGGCUCUGAACUAUAUAAAUAAAAUGAGGUUGAUUUGGGUACAGAUUUGGAUGUAUGAAUUAUCAUGUAAAAAAAGAUGGAGUAUCAAGAAGGAAAGGGUAAAAACAUAAAUGCAUAAUCUAACCCACAGGGUAAAAUGGAGAAAGAAAGACGUCUGCAGUUUCUUAUUUUCCCCUUCAUCUCCAUCGAUCUAGUUCUCUCUACAGAGACAGGUAAAAAAAAUCAUACUUAACUAAAAUCUAGAAUAAGAAAAUAUACUAAACUACACUUGCUCGAUCGGUACUCCGGUCCCUCCCAGAGGCGUACUGGGUACCGGGAAAAUAAAUCUCAUAUGUAUAUACAUAUAUAUAAUAUAUAGGUCAUGCAUCAAAUACAACAACUAGCUAACCUUGUAAUCUACGUACAACAUAACAACUCAACAGAUUAGCAACAAACUAUUCAUUUAAACACAAAUCAAGAUUAUGUUUUUGAGGAUUCUGACUUCCAACCAAACAAUUAGCAACAAACUAAUCGUCUCAACACUCACACUGUCAAGAUCGAGUACUUGCUGGUGUCUAGAGGGAAAAUUAAUAAAGUGACCAAGGUUUCCAAUCGAUGGCCAAAUUUGUUAUAUUACCUGAAUCCACCACGACACCAUGCUCUGCAACCCCAGUUGACGAUCCUCGGGCCUCUCACUGCUAUGAUGCCAUCUUCUCAGCUUGUGCUGUCCAGACAGGUGCAAAUUAAUCCUUCAAUGAUAUAAAGGUUUUGUGCAUCGAUUGAAAUUUACUUGUAAUAAAGCUGCAGCUGGUGUAUGCAUAAUGUUUAUAUCCAUACAAGGCUGUGCAGGUAAAUGACCACCACAAGAUUUGCAACCAGCUCAAAUGUCCAUUCAGCACACACAGAAAAGACACGCAUCCAGGUAUGAUAUAUAAGUAUAAAAACAGUAUAAUUGUUAGUUUCUCCUGUUUACCAUUAGCUUUUACGGCUGACAUCGAUUGAACUGCACUGGGGGAGGAGGCAGCAGGGGAAGACAACAAAGGGAAGAUCUCAGACAUCAUAACCAAGUACAUGAUCAUAUAUAUGUUGGUACGCUGUACAGUCGGAAUUGUCAACUGUAAACCUGCAAUUUCACCAAAAAUGGAAGCAUUAUUUGAAGAAUAAAUAUGUUCCUGGUCAUAGCUCCAUUUUCUAUAUCAUUGCGGACAUAAAAAAAGAACAAAAAAAUGAUCUAUGCGACAUCGGCGAUGAUGGCUGGGUGGGGAGGAGCACCAUGCUAACCUGGACCUAGGACUAACGAGAUGUGAACAAUUAGAACUGGCCAGUGGUCCUCCCGUUUAUUACAGACCGCCAUUUUAGAAAAAACACAGAUAGCCAAUACCAUUAAGAUGAUGAGAAAACAAAACUUAUGUACAAAUAACGAUCUAUAAUUAUCCACCAUGCCCAGAUAACCAGUUUGCAUAAAAUGGCAUGGUAACAAGAGUCCAUCCACAAUUAGUAGAUAAUGACAAGGUUAAAAUAAUUCAUACCUUCAAAGGUACAUGAGGAUAAGUUAGCCUCUAAGAAUAUGAGAAUCCAAACGGUUCUCCUGAUCCAAUUAGAGUACUGUUUAUGCAAACUCAAAUUUAAAGCAAAAUAAAAUUAAAAAAAUGAAAAAUACUUGCAGCAGUAGAGAUAAAAUUGCAUCUCUCACGAUACACCCUGUGUGAAUAAACACAUGCAGUAGAAUAUGAAUACAGUAGUAUUUAUAUUCGUUAUGGUGUCAUGGCAGCAAAAUCUGGACAACUAUCCCAUGAUUUUGAAAAAAACUAAGCCAAUACCGAUACGAGGGUGUAGAGGAGGAUUGAAUCAUAUAUAAAUCCCCAUGCAUAAUUAGCAUCCAAGAAACUAAACCUUCCAGUAGAUAUCAAAUUGCAAAUCGUAUAUCGAUCCAAUUAAUAUCAUAAUUUUUUUCCGAGAGAUUCAACUUCAAAAUGUAGCGAUGAAGAAGAAGAACGAAAUCCUGAGAAAUUAAUAGCUGGAGUCGCAGCACAUCAGGAAGCACGACAGUGGCGCCUGGGUCUGGACGUUAACACGUGACCACAAGUAUAUAUAAUUAUCAACCAGGGAGAUCUACCAAUACAAUGAUAAGAAAACAGAAACUAUGUCCAAAUAACCAUAAAUAAUUACACCAUGCCCAGAUAAUCAGUUUGCAUAAAAUAGCAUGGUACCAUGCUAAUCUGGACCUAGGACCGAUGAGGCGAUCUGGAUAAUUUGAACUGUUGCCAGUGGUCCUCUCCGUCGACUCGUAUGUAUUUUAAGAAAAAAGACAGAUAGUCAAUCAGGGAGAUAUAUACCAUUAAAAUGAUAAGAAAACAGAACCUAUAUUCAAAUAACCAUAUAUGAUUGUCCACCAUGCCUAGAUAAUCAGUUUGCAUAAGAUAUGUCAUGGUAACAAGAGUCCAUCCACAGUUAGCAGAUAAUGACAAGAUGAACACAAUUCAUACCUUCAAAGAUAUGAGUAAAUUAAGUUAGCCUUAACAGAAAAGGCAGGAGUAUUGCUGUUCACUAAAAAGGAGAAUUAGAUAUUUACAAGAAAGUGCCUAGAAUUGGAGGGCCAAGGCGCACAACCCCCAAAAAACACAGAAAACGGCUACACUCUAACACCAGUCCACACAACCGGGUUAACCUCGUUAGCCCACAAAAAGGACUUGAAAUCCUCCUGAUAAGCCUUGGAAGUAACUUCAUCCUCCUUCAUGGACUCAUUGUUGAAAAUUUUGGGGUUACGCUCUUUCCACACAUGCAUUCCAAAGAC